Molecule: ribosomal RNA, 498 nt
Filed under: uncultured bacterium
Lineage: Bacteria
Description: partial 16S ribosomal RNA
Rfam family: Bacterial small subunit ribosomal RNA
Source: RNAcentral
AUUGAACGCUGGCGGCAUGCCUUACACAUGCAAGUCGAACGGUAACAGGUCUUCGGAUGCUGACGAGUGGCGAACGGGUGAGUAAUACAUCGGAACGUGCCUAGUAGUGGGGGAUAACUACUCGAAAGAGUGGCUAAUACCGCAUGAGAUCUACGGAUGAAAGCAGGGGAUCACAAGACCUGGUGCUACUAGAGCGGACGAUGGCAGAUUAGGUAGUUGGUGGGAUAAAAGCUUACCAAGCCGACGAUCUGUAGCUGGUCUGAGAGGACGAUCAGCCACACUGGGACUGAGACACGGCCCAGACUCCUACGGGAGGCAGCAGUGGGGAAUUUUGGACAAUGGGCGCAAGCCUGAUCCAGCAAUGCCGCGUGCAGGAUGAAGGCCUUCGGGUUGUAAACUGCUUUUGUACGGAACGAAAAGCCCCGGGUUAAUACCCUGGGGUCAUGACGGUACCGUAAGAAUAAGCACAGGCUAACUACGUGCCAGCAGCCGCCGCUG